Heterocephalus glaber (naked mole-rat) is the source of this 2040-nucleotide long non-coding RNA. The record is from Ensembl. Lineage: Eukaryota; Metazoa; Chordata; Mammalia; Rodentia; Bathyergidae.
UGAAUUAGACAUGCAAACAUUUGGGAAAAUGUUCAUGAAGAAAAAGCAAAGAACAGGGAAGAGUGUGUCUCAGGUCAUGUUGAGAGUCCAGUACUUUUGGGAAGGGAGAAGGAAAGGGAGCUGAGCAGGAAAAGUCACAGAACGGAGCAAUUCUAAGCUGGAUUCUGCCAGAACCGUGGGGAGUGUUUGUGGAAGUCCUUGGUCUCCAGCAAUGGGCCUGAUUACUGGAUUCGCUGGGCUCUUGUAGGAGUCUGGAGCAGUCCCCAGCAGCUGUUGUUUCACGGCAUAUUUGGAAGCAUCUUUUCUUCAGUGGUGCCGACUUGUGAUGUGUCUGCCAGUCCAGAGACUCGGCAUUGCCGAGCUCCUGGUGCCAGGUGAGGAAAUCUUAUUUUUAGUUCUUGUCUUACACACUUAAAAAUGAGGCUUGAAGAGAUUAAAUAAAACCUUAAAAGGCAGGUAGAGAGUUGAAGUUUCUGAAGGAAGACAAGGGAGCAGGACCAAGACCACUCCAGGGAGGCCUUCUGAGCUUGUUGUACAUUUCCCAUCCACUCCUCAGACUGUUUUUCCCAGACAACAAAAAGUAUCAUCUGAAAUGUUACCAGAUUUUAAUGAGACUUCUGGUGCUGAAAGAAAACAAAACUUAAGUGAAGAUCAAGAGGAGAAACAGAAACCAAGAGUGAAUGAAGGGUUUAAACCAGUAUCUCAAGGACGAAUGAAGAAGUUAAGGAAACAGAAACAAAGGGAAGAACAAAGAGAACUCCGCAAACAAAAGUGGAAAGAAAAAUGCAAGGGAAAGAAAUUAGAAUGACAAUGUCAACUGGAAUCAAACCCAGAUGGAAAUGACAGAAAACGUGUUCAAAGACAAGUCAUCCAGAGCACACUCUGCCUUGUCAUUGACUGCCAUUUUGAUGAUUUGAUGGUCUUACAGGAUAUUAAGAAACUUCAUAGGCAGAUUCAGCGAUCUUAUGCAGAAAACCAAAGAGCAUUGCACCCCAGCAGAUUUUCUUGACAAGCCAUGGAGGCCAGCUGAAAAGGAACAUGGAUGACAAUGACAAAGGAUGGGUCAACUGGAAGGAUAUCCACAUCAAACCAGAGCUCUGUAGUGAACUCAUAAAAAAAGAAGACCUUGUGUAUCUUACAUCAGAUUCCCCUAACACACUGCAGGAAUUAGAUGAGUCAAGGGCCUAUGUGAUUGGAGGAUUGGCAGACCACAACCAUCACAAGGGAUUCACGUAGAAACAAGAUCGGAUUAUGGGAUUGAUCAUGCUCAGCUCCCCCACAGAAAUUCUGUGAAGAUGAACAGUCGGAAAGGUCUGACAGUUGAUCAUGUAUUUGAGAUUAUCCUGGAAUACCUGCAAACAAGAGACUGGCAAGAAGCAUUUUUUUACUAUCUUACCCCAGCGGAAAGGAGCUGUCUCCACAGACAAAGCCUGUGACAGUUCCUCCCAGGACCAGCAGGGUGCUGGGGCUGAAGGUGGACUGGACAGUGAGGCGGAAUGCUGCAGGAAUCAACCGGAUUCCCCACAUCCAGAGGACGCGCAGGAUGAGGAAAGCCACUGAGUCCACCUUUCACCUUCAACUUGGGUAUUGCAAAGAAAAUAUCAUAACUCUGGGAAGAAACGCGAUGUGCUGGACUCAACUUCAUCUCUUCUGGGCUGUGGAGCCCUAACCUGUGCCUCCUUUCUCAGACUCAUUUGAUGAAAGCCAUAAUUCCAAGAAGAGGUGAUGACAUCCUGCUUGAGAUACACAAAGGCCUUCAUCUGUCAGCACCAUGUGGAAAACCAAGAAACUCUAAUGAUGAGAAUGUAAAAUCAGGCUGCACAGAUACAUAACAACUAUUCCACCCAAGAUUAAACAGAGCAGAACAUAAGUUAGGGCUUUCAAAAGAUCAUUUGAUUACUUGCACAGACCAGAGCUUGGAGGAGGCCCUCACCCACCACCCACCUGCCAGGAAGAUCCCAACAGUUGUAGGUCUCAAACCACCAAUUCUGACCUGGUCCUGCACCUUGCUUCUCCUCAGCACAAGGGCACAGUGGUGAC